AGGAUCUUCCACAAUGGACGAAAGUCUGAUGGAGCAACGCCGCGUGAGUGAAGAAGGGUUUCGGCUCGUAAAGCUCUGUUGGUAGUGAAGAAAGAUAGAGGUAGUAACUGGCCUUUAUUUGACGGUAAUUACUUAGAAAGUCACGGCUAACUACGUGCC
This 159-nucleotide ribosomal RNA is filed under the name uncultured bacterium. RNAcentral's name for it is "partial 16S ribosomal RNA". It matches the Rfam family "Bacterial small subunit ribosomal RNA", at positions 358 to 509 of the family's 1533-position model. The record is from RNAcentral.